RNAcentral lists this ribosomal RNA (253 nucleotides) under uncultured bacterium. Its description in RNAcentral is "partial 16S ribosomal RNA". It matches the Rfam family "Bacterial small subunit ribosomal RNA", at positions 524 to 776 of the family's 1533-position model. The record is from RNAcentral.
UACGUAGGAGGCGAGCGUUGUCCGGAUUUACUGGGCGUAAAGAGCGCGCAGGCGGUCGUACAAGUCGCGUGUGAAAGCCCCCGGCUCAACUGGGGAGGGUCACGCGAUACUGUUCGACUCGAAGGCAGGAGAGGGAAGCGGAAUUCCCGGUGUAGUGGUGAAAUGCGUAGAUAUCGGGAGGAACACCAGUGGCGAAGGCGGCUACCUGGACCGGUUCUGACGCUGAGGCGCGAAAGCGUGGGUAGCAAACAGG